GUCUCACUUUAUGGCCCUCGGUAGAGUGCCGUGGCCUCACACGGCUCACAGCAACCUCCAACUCCUGGGCUUAGGCGAUUCUCCUGCCUCAGCCUCCCGAGUAGCUGGGACUACAGGCGCCCGCCACAACGCCCGGCUACGUGUCUGAGCAAAUUUUAAAAAGUGAUGUACCGGACGCGGCCGGGCAAGAUGGCGGACAAAGAGAAGAAAAAGAAAGAGAGCAUUUUGGACUUGUCAAAGUACAUCGACAAGACUAUCCGCGUGAAGUUCUAGGGAGGCCGCGAAGCCAGUGGAAUCCUGAAAGGGUUCGAUCCACUCCUCAACCUUGUGCUCUAUGGGACCAUUGAAUACAUGAGAGACCCUGAUGACCAGUACAAGCUUACGGAGGACACGCGCCAGCUGGGCCUGGUGUGUGCAGGGGCACAUCUGUGGUGCUCAUCUGCCCGCAGGACGGCAUGGAGGCCAUUCCCAACCCCUUCGUCCAGCAGCAUGAUGCCUAGCAGCCAGCACAGUCUCCACAGCACCCACCAGCACUGGAACAGAAGGUCUUUUCCUUUUUGUAUAGGUUAAACUUUUGUUUUCUUAAUAAAACUGCAAACCUCAAAAAA
Nycticebus coucang (slow loris) is the source of this 608-nucleotide RNA transcript. Lineage: Eukaryota; Metazoa; Chordata; Mammalia; Primates; Lorisidae. The record is from RefSeq and is a predicted model, not a curated record.